Molecule: ribosomal RNA, 1341 nt
Filed under: Nocardioides sp.
Lineage: Bacteria; Bacillati; Actinomycetota; Actinomycetes; Propionibacteriales; Nocardioidaceae
Description: bacterial SSU rRNA
Rfam family: Bacterial small subunit ribosomal RNA
Source: RNAcentral
UCACUCGAGUCGGUCGAACGGGUGAGUAACACGUGAGUAAUCUGCCCUGCGCUCUGACAUAGCCACCGGAAACGGAGAUUAAUACCGGAUACGACCACUUCAUGCAUGUGAUGGUGGUGGAAAGGUUUUUCGGCGCAGGAUGUGCUCGCGGCCUAUCAUCUUGUUGGUGAGGUGAUGGCUCACCACGGCUUUGACGGGUAACCGGCCUGAGAGGGUGACCGGACACACUGCGACUGAGACACGGCCCAGACUCCUACGUGAGGCAGCAGUGGGGAAUAUUGGACAAUGGGCGGAAGCCUGAUCCAUCAACGCCGCGUGAGGGAUGACGGACUUCGUGUUGUAAACCUCUUUCAGUACCGACGAAGCACAAGUGACGGUAGGUACAUAAGAAGGACCGGCCAACUACGUGCCAGCAGCCGCGCUAAUACGUACGGUCCGAGCGUUGUCCGGAAUUAUUGAUCGUAAAGGGCUCGUACGCGGUUUGUCGCGUCGGGAGUGAGAGCACCGCCCUUAACUCGGUGCUUGCUUUCGAUACGGACAGACUAAAUGUAUGCAGGGGAGAAUGAAAUUCCUGCUGUAUCGAUGAAAUGCGCACAUAUCUGGAGGAACACCGGUGGAGAAGGCGGGUCUCUGGCCAUUACCUGACUCUGACGAGCGAAAGUGUGCAUGAGCGAACAGGAUUAAAUACCCUGGUAGUCCACACCGUAAACGUUGGGCGCUAGGUGUGGGGCCUAUUCCAUGCGCUUCCGUGCCGUAGCUAACGCAUUAAUCGCCCCGCCUGCUGAGUACGGCCGCCAGGCUAAAACUCAUAGGAAUUGACGACGGCCCGCCCAACCGGCGGAGCAUGCGGAUUAAUUCGAUGCAACGCGAAGAACCUUACCUGGGUUUGACAUACACCGGAAGCCUUUAGAGAUAGAGGUCUCUUUGAUACUGGUGUACAGGUGGUGCAUGGCUGUCGUCAGCUCGUGUCGUGAGAUGUUGGGUUAAGUUCCGCAACGAGCGCAACCCUCGUUCCAUGUUGCCAGCACGUAAUGGUGGGGACUCAUGGGAGACUGCCGGGGUCAACUCGGAGGAAGGUGGGGAUGACGUCAAGUCAUCAUGCCCCUUAUGUUCAGGGCUUCACGCAUGCUACAAUGGCCGGUACAAAGGGCUGCGAUCCCGUGAGGGGGAGCGAAUCCCAAAAAGCCGGUCUCAGUUCGGAUUGGGGUCUGCAACUCGACCCCAUGAAGUCGGAGUCGCUAGUAAUCGCAGAUCAGCAACGCUGCGGUGAAUACGUUCCCGGGCCUUGUACACCCCGCCCGUCACGUCACGAAAGUCGGCUAACACCCGAAGCCCGGUGGC